RNAcentral lists this ribosomal RNA (665 nucleotides) under Acinetobacter baumannii. RNAcentral describes it as "partial 23S ribosomal RNA". It matches the Rfam family "Bacterial large subunit ribosomal RNA", at positions 593 to 1258 of the family's 2925-position model. The record is from RNAcentral. Lineage: Bacteria; Pseudomonadati; Pseudomonadota; Gammaproteobacteria; Moraxellales; Moraxellaceae. RNAcentral also lists the same sequence under 2 other names.
GUGACUGCGUACCUUUUGUAUAAUGGGUCAGCGACUUAUAUUCUGUAGCAAGGUUAACCGAAUAGGGGAGCCGAAGGGAAACCGAGUCUUAACUGGGCGUUAAGUUGCAGGGUAUAGACCCGAAACCCGGUGAUCUAGCCAUGGGCAGGUUGAAGGUUGGGUAACACUAACUGGAGGACCGAACCGACUAAUGUUGAAAAAUUAGCGGAUGACUUGUGGCUGGGGGUGAAAGGCCAAUCAAACCGGGAGAUAGCUGGUUCUCCCCGAAAGCUAUUUAGGUAGCGCCUCGUGAAUUCAUCUCCGGGGGUAGAGCACUGUUUCGGCAAGGGGGUCAUCCCGACUUACCAACCCGAUGCAAACUGCGAAUACCGGAGAAUGUUAUCACGGGAGACACACGGCGGGUGCUAACGUCCGUCGUGAAGAGGGAAACAACCCAGACCGCCAGCUAAGGUCCCAAAGUCAUGGUUAAGUGGGAAACGAUGUGGGAAGGCCCAGACAGCCAGGAUGUUGGCUUAGAAGCAGCCAUCAUUUAAAGAAAGCGUAAUAGCUCACUGGUCGAGUCGGCCUGCGCGGAAGAUGUAACGGGGCUAAACCAUGCACCGAAGCUGCGGCAGCGACACUAUGUGUUGUUGGGUAGGGGAGCGUUCUGUAAGCCUGUGAAGGUG